Molecule: ribosomal RNA, 491 nt
Filed under: uncultured bacterium
Lineage: Bacteria
Description: partial 16S ribosomal RNA
Rfam family: Bacterial small subunit ribosomal RNA
Source: RNAcentral
GAUGAACGCUAGCUACAGGCUUAACACAUGCAAGUCGCGGGGCAGCAUGGGGGUUGCUUGCAACCCCUGAUGGCGACCGGCGCACGGGUGAGUAACGCGUAUCCAACCUGCCCUUCACCACGGGAUAACCCGGCGAAAGUCGGACUAAUACCGUAUGUUUUCCAUUGACGGCAUCCGAUUUGGACGAAAGGCUGGGCGGUGAAAGGAUGGGGAUGCGUCCGAUUAGCUUGACGGCGGGGUAACGGCCCACCGUGGCUACGAUCGGUAGGGGUUCUGAGAGGAAGGUCCCCCACACUGGAACUGAGACACGGUCCAGACUCCUACGGGAGGCAGCAGUGAGGAAUAUUGGUCAAUGGGCGUAAGCCUGAACCAGCCAAGUAGCGUGCAGGAGGACGGCCCUAUGGGUUGUAAACUGCUUUUAUGCGGGGAUAAAGUGGCCCACGUGUGGGCUUUUGCAGGUACCGCAUGAAUAAGGACCGGCUAAUUCCGUG